CGUUAGCGGCGGACGGGUGAGUAACACGUGGGUAACCUAUCUAUAAGACUGGGAUAACUUCGGGAAACCGGAGCUAAUACCGGAUAAUAUUUCGAACCGCAUGGUUCGAUAGUGAAAGAUGGUUUUGCUAUCACUUAUAGAUGGACCUGCGCCGUAUUAGCUAGUUGGUAAGGUAACGGCUUACCAAGGCGACGAUACGUAGCCGACCUGAGAGGGUGAUCGGCCACACUGGAACUGAGACACGGUCCAGACUCCUACGGGAGGCAGCAGCU
Molecule: ribosomal RNA, 272 nt
Filed under: uncultured Staphylococcus sp.
Lineage: Bacteria; Bacillati; Bacillota; Bacilli; Caryophanales; Staphylococcaceae
Description: partial 16S ribosomal RNA
Rfam family: Bacterial small subunit ribosomal RNA
Source: RNAcentral